Molecule: long non-coding RNA, 37777 nt
Filed under: Eucalyptus grandis
Lineage: Eukaryota; Viridiplantae; Streptophyta; Magnoliopsida; Myrtales; Myrtaceae
Description: long non-coding RNA (EGRA_LNC005104)
Source: RNAcentral
UUUUUUUUUUUGUUCGAUCGCUGGGAAAAUAGUUUAAAUGGUGCUCGGGAGCAGGUCCUAUGGAAAUUAUGUUUAUCAAGAGAUCACGUCGGAUCGUGGCAAGCAUCCGAAGGAUGAAUACCAUUCGUGCAUCAUUCAUAUACCAAAUGCCGUUGCGCUGCGCGUGUGCGAUCAUUACUUAAAUGUCUUUCAACAUCGGUAGACCCAUUCAACUAUUCAUAAGAUUGGAGUACUUGGUCGAUCGCGUGGCUGCCCCUGUAGUGAUGUGAGUCGUAACAUGAAGGAAGAGAUGCAGCCUUUCCAAUUUAUUUUUCAGGAUGAAGAAUCCACUAAAGCAAAGGGGGAAAUUUCUCUGAUCAAUCCAUCCCACCUUUGGACAGCUAAUAGCUCCAACAAUGACGAGACAGAACCGCGUCAUGUAAGGUCAUGUCGGAAAGCGAAAGUAAGAAAGAAGACACAAACGAGAAAAGAGGGACACCGAAAGGUAAGUGAUUUGUCUUUUAGGAUGAAGAAUCCUCCAAAGCGAGGGGAAAAAUUCCACACUGAUCAAUCCAUCCUAUCUCCGGACAGCUAAUAGCUCCAAUCGAUGAUGAGACAGAGUAGCGUCGUGGAAGGUCAUGUCGGAAAGCGAAAGGAAAAACGGAGAAACAAACAAGAAAAGAGGGACACCAAAAGGGUAAAGUGUUGAACCAAAAAAAAAAAAAAAAAAAGGGUAAAGUGACCUUAGCGUGUGGAGGUUGCCAACUAGCGUUAGGGAAGAUAUUUCUAAAGCCCUCGCAACACGUCUACUAGGGUCCGUGAACUGAAAAUUGUUAGGGGAAAAAUUAUUUUUCGAUUUUUUAAAAUUUUGAUGAUGAAAAACUAAUUAAUUUAUGAAAAAUAUUUUUUAUGAAUUAAAAACAAAGACAUUAAAUUGAUGGAAAAUGACUUUCUCUUUUGCCAAGAUGAAAAUCCUUUUUUUCUAGAUAACCAAAAAAACUUAAUUUUUCUUGAAUAAUUGUUUUCAUAAAGAAUAUUUUUAAUCAUAAAAUAUUUACUAAAACAAACGGAGCACCGACGUGGAGAAAAAAAUACUCCGUCCAACAAGUCAAUGCUCGGGAUUAUCUUCGCUUUUAUUUAAUUUAUUUUCCUCGUAGACUUAUUUAACUCCACAGAAACUCCCAAUUCCUUCCUGGCUCCAAAACCUUGAAUUUCCCUCAUUGUCACUGCUUCGCUCACACGCCUCCAUAGCCCUAACCCCAAGCCAUCGGUCAUUCUCCGCGGCCCCAACCUUCUCAAAUCCUAAACGGGGUGUACUUGGGGUUUUCUAUCUAAUCGAAUUGCCACCAAUCAACAUUAUAAAAAAAAAGAAAAGAAAAGAAAAAGCAUAAACUAGGCUGAAUGGAAGCGUAGAUGUAAGUGUGAAAGCAUUGGUCAUUUGCAACUCACAGUCUGCAUGUCGAUUACGUGUAGUAAAAAGUUAUUUUCCACGUGAUACCCUUUUGGCACCUUAACUUUCAAUUAAGUCCUUCGAAUGAAUAUAUCAUUAAUUUCCUGAAUUUAUUGAAGCAAUUUUGCUUUUUUAUCAUAGAUGUAAUCGGGGAACUUCCUUUAUUAUUUAUGCCCUAGUAUGACUUCAUAUGUCAUAUGUGUUUGCUUUAUCAAAAUAUGGAUGAACCUUAAUCUGUAAGGUGUAUAUGCGUGUGCAAUUGGGCAAUGACGUGUAAUUAGAUGAUACAUGCUUAGUUUUGAAAUUGACGGAGAUUGUUAUUGCUUGACCGACUUGGAUUGGGGUGUAUUUGUCCUUUUGGCCAUAUAUGGUAAUGAUUCUGAAAGCUGAAAAUAUCUUAGAGAAAUUAAUUAUAGUUAUUUUCAAAGUUUUUUUGGAAAAUCAUGGAAUGCGCGGGGUCUCGAAUCACAUGAUCCGAGGGACCUUUAGCUCCAUAGCUUUUAGGGUAGGGCCACCCCUAAGAUAUUUAGUAUUAAUUAUUUUUUUCCCAUAUUUGAUAACAUUUUGACUGGAUGUAACUUUUCUGGUCUGAUAUCGAUUGACAAAAUUUGUACUCCCACAAAAAGUUCUCUGCCCCAUAUUUCUGAAAAUGUCUUCUUUUCUUUUUUUGGGACCGGAGGAACCGCCUCACAACGAGCACUUGGUGUAAACCCCACAGGAGCACUGGCAUGAGGGACUGACCUCCCGCGGUGCUCCGCUUAAGUCACGCUAAUGCGCAUGCGGUGACUCGAACCUCCCCCCUUCCACAAUUAGAGGGGGAAAGACCUAAACCAACACGCCCAUAAUGGAGUGGGUCUGAAAAAUGUCAUUUGAUCCUUCAAAAUAUGUCAAGAUCACAAGUAUCCAUUAAUUUGGCUAAACAAAGAUGGUGAUGAGAAAUUAUGAUAUUUUCUCCAUUAGAAAUCUUGAUCACUGUGAUUUUUGCAGCAUUGGGAAUUUUAUAACUUGGACCGUCUAUAGUUUUAAUUGAUUGCACCAAAAAAAAAAAAAAAUACUUGGCACUUCAAGAUAUGAUUGUGAUUAAAAGAGGCAAUAUAUUUUGUAGUGUCGCAAAGUUUUGAUUUAGAUAAAUUGGGUAUUGUCGUAGAACUAUUACCCCAUUUUUCAUUUUGGUCGAACUUUCGACGAAGUAAUAAUUUCGGUCGGUCUUGGUCAAACUUUAGGUCAAAAUUUAGGUAAUAAAUCUGAACCUGUUGAUAUUUGAUAAAGAAGGACAACAUAAAGGAAGUGCAUGGCGCAGGAACUAAGGAGCCAAAAACAAGAUGGUUAUCCAUUUUCCAGUCGCUUUUGCCUCUUCAGAAAUGUGAAUGUCCAUUGGACUUGAGCAUGUCGUUAAAAGGAUUUGACCAUCAGGAAAGUCUAGGUAGAGGCCUGGGUCCAGGGUCUCGAUAAAAAUAUACCGGCCCCAUUGGUUCUCCUGUCCACACCCCCCUUACGGGGGUAGGGGAACUAGCCUAGAUCCCCGUGAAACCUUCCCAGCUGAAACACGCCGGCGUGGUUCAGGGAAAUGAAAGGUCCAUUUUGCCUCUUCAGAAAUGUGAAUAUCCAUUGGAAAUGUGCAAGAUAAUUGUUAAGAAUGACUCCAAAUAGGCGGCCAACGUACGAAAGAACCCACCCCGGAAAAAGUGAGCAAACAUGGACCAUCCACUUUUCACUUUGUCCCACGGAAGGUUCGACCUUUUUCGUGACCCAAAAUCGUGGAUGUUUCGGAUUCCAGACGUGACCAUGAAAUUGCUCAUAGACCAGCAGACAUCACGUAAAUUUCAUAUGUCCAGGUGAGAUGAGUGAGGAAGUGACCCAGCCAAAUACUGCUGUCUCUAGAUCAGCCCAAAAGAAGUUCAAAAAAGAGGAUCUGGAAUUCACAAUUGAUUGAUUGUAUUGGCAAAGGGGAGAAUUCACCCAAGCUUGUGAUGCUUGCGGGAUGUGCUUUCUAUUUGUUGCAGAUAUGAAACCAUGGAGUCCAUUUAACCCUUCAUACUAGCCUCGAACCUAUCAUCUCGGCAACCUAAUACAGCACAUAAUAACAUGGUGACCAAUGGCGUAUUUAGUAACGCUUCUGUUCCCGGAAAUAAUUUAUGAUCAAAAAUGAUUUUUAUUUAUUUAUUUUGUUCUUAGGAACAAUUUAUAAAUAUUUUAAACGUUUGGUAACUAUUCAAAAUUUCAAUUUUCAGAAUAGAAUUGUGUUUGGUAUCGUACUCAAAAUUCUAUUCCAAAUCAUUUUCUUUUAAUUUUUAAAUAAUUCUAUUAAUAUUGAUAAAUUUUACAAAGUCAAAUCAAUUCUUGCUCCAAAAAAUUUGUAUCUUCGGUCCUAUUGAUCCAAAAUAGUCGAUUCUAUCACAGGACCGGUUUGAUGACAGCAUAAAACCAUUUCUUGGGGACCUCGACUUGUCGUUCAUGGCGAAACUGGCAAGAGAGAAUCCGAGGAAAAUUCUGCGAAAAAGCAAAAGUGACGAUGAAAAGGAAAUAAAGCCAAAAAGCAAAGAAAAAGAUGGUGGGUGGGCAUCCUAACGUGGAAAAGAAGUCCCGCCAGUACUUUUUAGCGUGCAUCUCAUGUUGUCGACGAGAUUUUAGUCAAAAGAUUUCCUUAGGGAACCCUCAAGGAAAAAAAAAAACCACGGCAAUGCUUUGUGGGGGCUACAAAUUUUUCAUCGUUGCUCCUUUGCCCCGUCUUUUCCCGUGCUGCAAAGAGUUCCUUUUCAAAGUUAAAUUUUAUGAAAGUUCGUCGCUUAAAUCCUAUCACUCUUGUUCCCAUUACAAUUCAUCAGGCUAGAGCCCAAAUAUUGGCACAGCCCAUUAUUUCCCGGACCUGGGACAACCCCUUGUGCCGAGCUCAAGCCCAAGCCUCGCCGGUGGCCGAGGGAGGCUCGGGCGAGGCCCACUUGGCCACCAGUGAGGUCGAGCCUCGCCGGUGGCUGGGCUUGUCUCCAACGAGCUCACCGGACCUUACCCUGGCUUGGUGAGCUUCCGACGAGCUCGCUAGACCGGCGAUGGAUGACAACCUUGAUGGUGGCAGCAAAUGAAGAAGAAGAAAAGGGAAGAACAACAAGAAAAAAGAAAAGAAAACGAGAAAAUAGGUUCUUAAUUUUAGAAUUAUUCCCAAGAAUAAGAAUUAACUUUUUUUUUUUAUUAUUCUUGAUUCUAUUUCAAAUCUACUUCCGAAAAAAAAAAAUAGAAAUUUUUUCCUAGGAACAAAAAUUUUACCAAACACUGUUUUAUAAGUUGCUAAACAGGCCCCAAUUUAUCCAUUCACCAUUUGGGACAGCCGAUCAAAAUGAAACAAGCCCAUUCGAGAUUGAUUCGUGACUAUGUAGUCCAAACAAAAGCAAAUAAAAUAAAAGAGACGAAACUACUAAAAAGAUUACUGGUAACAAAAAAUCGAUUGCGAAUUCUGCCGAGACAAGAGUGUCUGUUUCAACUACGGAAAUGACAAGAGAGCACAAAUAUCAGUCUCUUAUACAUUAUAUACCAGAUGUUUCUCAUUCUUUGCUAUAAGAAUUAGAAUUUUUAUGCGGAUGAAUAAGGGAGUUCUGUUAAUGUAGCCUCCACCCUUACCAAGUAUGAACAAGAAGUUUUCAACUCUAAAUAAGUUCUCAGUCGUAUCAAAACUUAAGAUAAUAUCUGUAACCAUAGGUUUCCUGUACAAGACAUGAGGCUGAAAGGCAAAAAAAAAAAAAAAAAAAAAAAACACUGUCCAAAACAAUGCCAAGAUGAGGAUCAAAGUGACAACUGACAAGAUCAGCUCAUUCUCGUACCUCUUCAGCACAAACCUCUCUUCAGAUGCUAUAAUGCUGGUGACAACACAUUUCUUGUCUGAAAAUGGCUUCCUACCCGUCCUUCCAGCUCGAUGAAGGUAAUCUAUGGCACUUCUCAGAAGAUCAAAGUUGUAAAUAUGAGUUGUUUCCGGCAGGUCAAUACCUCUGGCUGCGAUAUCAGUUGCUACAAAAAACAUAGCCUUCUUUUUGUCUCACUUCCUGUAGUCCAAAUACGGAGGAAUUAAAUAUGAAGUUGGACUAUACAUAUUUUCACCAAUGGACUGCUUAGGAGGUGCUUAGUAUACCCAUGUUUGGCAUGACGAGGAGUAUAUGCCUAUUUUAACUUGAGAAGGUCUACUUUAGGCAUUAAUAAAGGUCAUGAAGAAAGAAAUAAACGGUUUUCCUAAAGAAAACACAGUUGUAGCAGAUAAUUUUCGUAAGUGGUAUAAUCUCUUUGAUACUGCUUAGUGCUACCAAAUAAUAAUGGUCUGUUAAGGUCUUGCAGCAUCUUUCCUCCUGUCAAAAAAAAAAAUCCAGCAUCUCAGAUCCGCAGAGAAUAAGGAUAAAAUCCAUCUUGUUCCAAAUAUAUUAUAGGACGAACAAAGUUAUAGGGCAUAUCUUUAAUAUGCCAAAUUUCUCAACCCUGAGCAUUCUCAAAGUGAGGGAAGAAACAUCAUUAUGGAAAAAGUGAAAAGCACUUACCGAGAGUGAAGCUGCUCGUGCAUUGAAAUUCAUGUCUUCUUCUAGAAGGAGAAUAUUAGAGCAGCUUCCAUAAUAACUCUUUAAGAAUUCAAGUAGAAGAGUUGACGGUGGUACAUUUCCAGCCUUUUUUGACUUCUCAGACUAAACGCACAAAAGAUAGAAUUGGUUAGUGGACCUGCGGACAGUUGUUUACAAAGGUGUAUUCACGUGAUAUGUGUGUGCUCAUGAAUGCUACAAGCUUCUGUAGAAUGUAUAAAUAAAAGCUGCAUUCACUUUAAUAAAUUCCAAAACCCUCUUCAUGCAGGAAAACUUUUGGGACGUUGUGAAAAUUCUCCAUAUUUGGAAACCAAUUUUCAUUCAGCAACCAAGAGAAACGUCAUCAGAGCAUAAACUUCUUUCACUCGUGUAAAGAACUGCAUAUAUGUUUUAUUUGAUGCCCCUGCAUAUGGACAGAUGACCUUACCAAUAAAUGCAUGAAACUCUCCAGUCCAUUUAUUAUAUAAAACCGACAGCCCAUUAGACAUUUUUAGCUAAGACCACUAAUCACUGCCACAUGAAUUGGGGAUGGAGCCUGCCAUAUCAUACAUCAGUUGACACAUUUCAACACCAUUUUUCAUUAUCCAGAUAGAAAUCUACUGCUUCCUCUCAUGCUUAUAACAAGUACAGCACCAAAAAAUGUGAAUAAACUACGGAAAAGAGAUGCAGGAUGAGCAUCGGGCAGUAUACCUGCUCGCCAACAAAUAUAAUGCCAGAUUCGGGGCUGUCCCACUGUAAUAAAUGUAGCAAGGUCUGAUGUCUCCUACUCCUAUGACAUGUCUGAAACAGAUAGAAGCGUUAAGCAAGUCAAAAGCCAAGGAUCAUCAAUUGAGUACAUGACUAUGAAGACGAACAUUAAAUGAGCAUAUGCAUAACUUCUAUGAAAGAGUCUGUAGAUCAAGUCUCGCAUUCAAUGUCCUCACCACAAAUGUAUGAUCUAGACAUGAUGGCAUAGGCUGUAUUGGAUUGACGUGGAUGUGAACCACAUCACCCUGUAACAGGCAAAGUCAUAUUGAGAUAAAAUCAGUGAGUGCAUGAGUAAACCCCAACAGAACAUUCACAAGAUUUAAAGCUUCAUGAAACCAACCUUAGUCCACUUCUGUUGCAUACAAUCAUGUAAAAAAUCGCUUAUGCUGAGGUAUGGAUGCACUAGCCAAAACAGUUUGACGGUUGUUGCUUGAUGAGUACAAUGUCAACAGCUUCCGGAGAGAGCUGACUUGCUUAGGAGAGUUGAACAUGAAGUCUACCUAGGCAGCAUCAAAGUAAGAAUGUCAGUUCUUCAUCCUACAAUAUCCAGGAAGAAUCAUGUCUGUAUAAAACAAGAUACCGAGGCCCCAGCGGGAUAAUCGCACAUCUUUAAUCAUACUAACAUGGUGAUUACAAACUACCCAAUGAAAUAUACUCACAAAAAAAUAGACCAAUCAAGGCACUACAUGCUAACUGAAUAUCCUUUCCUAACUUAAUUGCAUUUACUGGCAACUUCCAGUGCACUCAAUUUCUCGUCUUGUUCUUAACAGAAAACUGAAAUCAAUGGCAAAUAAGAGAUCAACCUGAGCAUGAAGCACGCAAUCCGUCCCGGAGAAAAGGGCAGGCAAUGCUUCCCUCUGAACAUCAGUCGCCAAUACGUACCCAACUUCCUCCAUCCUGCAAAACCGCCCAAACAUAAAUUUUCCAUAUAGUUCCAGAAACCCAACAUCGGCAAAACAACGUCUCUCACUUCUCGCUCUAAAGUAACAAUCUUUGAACUUGGAAUUCACACUUGCCUCCGCAGGACAUGCUCGGGCACGUGGCCGCCACAAAUUCUUCUCAGCGUGGGAGGGGCUGAUUCUGGGUCGGCUUCGUCCGCCGCGGAGGAGAAGCUGAGGAGGGCUGGCGGCGGCUCGCGACUGGACGUGGAGAGAGGAGACUGACUUGGGCGAGCGGUGACGAGGACCGAGAACUUGGGUUAGGGUUGCGGAGAAGAAAGAGGGACGAAGGAGAGACGAGCUUUGUCGCAGAAGAAGAAGAAGAAGCCAUUGACGAGCAAGAAGCUCGCUCCUCGGACGAGAGCUGCGACUGGAAAGUGGAUAUGAUUCCAUCAACUACACGUGUUGAAUGAAUUAGGCUUCAAUGUUAUGUUUUUGCAAAAUUGAUGGUAAUUUAUUUGAUUUUUGAAUAUAGACUUUUCACUAUUUUUUUUUCUUUACUUCAGCUGGUGACAAGCUUUUUCACACGGGGAUUGAUUUGAUUCCGAGUAAAGAAUUUGAGAACCGACUUUGAUCGAUUCAGUUCCUAAUUCUCGGAAGAGUUGGUUUUGAAUUGACUUUAACAGUUGAUUCUCUAGUCAAACCAAUUCAAAACAAAAUUCUAAAAGUCUCUUAAUUGAGAACUUUUACAUUGCCUCGAAUUAAUGAGAUUAAGCAUUCUAGCACAUAAAUAUCAACACAGUAUUUUAAAAAAUGAAAAAAAGAAGAAGAAGGGCUGAUGCCAUCCCAAGAAUCCAGUUCAAUUUUCAAUUCCAAUAACUAGAAACUGGUUUUAAUAAAGAUAGGUUCAAAGUUCAUGAUUUAAAAAUCAACUACCCUAGCAACGAUCACCCUUUUCCACACCUGUACACAUUUUCUCCCCCAUGUAAUUCAGGAGGUCCAUGUUAGGAAUUUGAUCGGAUUAUAUUGGUCAUCUUUAGUUGAUUUCAACCUCUUAGCUAUAAAUACUCCUCACUUUUUUCUUUUUUCUUUUUAUCUUUUUACAAUUUUUUUUUAUCGCGAGACAGAUCUUUGAAAAUUGAAGUAGCUUUCUUGAGAACCUGCUCAAGUUUCCUGCCGUUCAUAGUAACUAAUCAGGUUGCUAAUGGGAAAAACAUUCAUAUAAUUCACCGUUCAACAGCCUACAUCGGAAUAAAGCAGCAGGAAACAGCUUCCGAUUUCUCUUGCUUGAGGUCCAAUUCCCCUAAGUGAAACUCCAAAUACGGACCAAAGAAGAAGAACCAAUGAAGUUGGUUCUCAAUGGAGUUGUACUUCCAUGAAACCGUGCUAUAGAAUGGUAAGUAGAGUUUACUCCAAAAGUCCGCCUGAAAAAAUAUACAUUUCAUCAAAAGGUAAAACUGAACGGCUCUAGCUCUUUCCCGGAAUCAAGAUGUAAGAUAUACGCAAAAUCAGGCCGACCAAGCUACCUCUACCGACAUUUUCUAUUUGCACAGUCCGCUUAGGUUGUCUGCCUUCCAAGUUGAUGAUAGCACGGUGGCCCAAGGGUUUGGAUGGGGAGGGAUCAGAGCUCCGGCGUCAUAUCCCACCACUGGGUUUCAACUAGGUCUGUUAGACGGUGAAACAAGGCUCCACCGGCCAUGUCCAUGUCCACAACCCCAUCAACUCCCUUAAAUGCAACACGCAAUUUCAUCAAACUCGACACUUUCUUAUCAUCCUUGCGCGACAUGCCGGUCACAUGGAUAACAUCUCUUGGAACUUUACCCAUUAAAUCAAAUAAUAGCUGAUCUAGGUUUGACCGAGUCAUCUCUUCCAGCACCGGAGGUGCCUGCAUGUAUAGAUUCUUCCCCCUAUGCGUGACGCUUGCUUUUGAUAGAAGCAGCCUUGGGUGCUCUUCGAGCAUAUUGAUGAACUGAUGACAUACAAGAUGAAAAAAGAUGACGAGUAAUCAGAUAACUGCAAGAACUACCCAAGUGCUUAGAAACAUGUGAAGAAGGUUACAGAGAGAGCUAUACAGGAUAAAAACCUCUAGCUAGCAUUCCCAUUAAUUUGUAGCGAGUAAUAAACAGAGCUUAAGAACAAGAAAGCACCUUUUGUAGGGUCACUGAAAUGUCCAACUCAAUAAGAACACCAGGACCACAGACAAGGCAAUCCUUAUCCCUCACGAACUCAGUAACUUUAAUGUGAAGUCCUUCCACACCGUUGUAUCUGAAAUUCAAAAAUAUUCAAUAAACUUGCAGCUCAAAGUUUGCCCACUUAAAAGAACAUAAUUGGGAUUACUGCGCAUUUGCAAGCUAGCAACUAGACAAAACAUAUGGAACUUGCAAGUUUUCACUCAUAGAGUAUGGAUACAUACAGACAGCAAAUUAGUAAAUUCAUCUACUGAAGCACUGAUCUUCAGAUGUACUGAUCAGUAACAAAAGCAGGAUAUGACACAGGCUGGGAGAGACAAAAGUAAAAACUAAGAGAUCUCCAAAAAAAAAAAAAAAAACAAAACAAAACAAAAACAAAAAAAUUGGCAUAUUCAUACGCGUCUAAGAAAUAGCAAGUAAGCAAUUCGGCAUCACAAGUUCAUGACUAAGAUGCACUCCAUUUAACCUCAAGUUUAAAGACUCCAGCAUUGAGAACCUUUAAUUGAGUUGCAACAUGUCACCUGAAAAUUUAUGGAAAGCUUGGAACAUAAGCAAUGGAGGUCACAUUAAGGGCCCGUUUAGUAACACUUCUGUUCUCAGGAAUAAUUUCUGAUCAGAAAUGAUUAUUUUUUAUUCUUUUCCCGAUAAUAAUUUCUAAACAUUUUAAGCUGUUUGGUAACUGUCCAAAAUUUCAAUUCCUAGAAUAGAAUUGUGUUUGGCACCGUCCUCAAAAUUUCUAUUUCAAAUCAUUUUCUUUUAAUUUUUAAAUAAUUUUAUUACUUUUUUCCUUUUUUUCUUUUUUCUUCCUUUCUUUUUUUUCCUUUCUUUCUCCUCCUCUUCUUCUUCUUCUUCUUCUUCUUGAGAUGAUAGGCGACCAGCCAGAUGAGGGCCGGCGACCUCACUAGUUUGUCACUGGCCCUCGGCGAGGCCGUGCCUUGUCGGCCGAGCCCGCUUGGCCACCGGCAAGUCUCAGUCUUGUCAUAUCUAGCGAGGUUGAGGCUUGCCGGUGGUUGGGCCAGCCUCCGGUGAGGGGCGAGAUCUGGCGAGCUCACCGGACCUUGGCCAACCUAUCGUUGGUGACCGGCGGCGAACAGUAAUGGCGGCAGUUGAAGAAUAAAAAAGAGAAGAAGACCAAGAAAAAAGAAAUGAAGAGAGAGAAAAUAAGUUUGUUGAUUCUAGAAUUAUUUCCGGAAACAAAGGGCAUGUUUGUUUAUGUUUCUUUUUUCUGUUUCUGAGAACAAAAAAGAAACAGAAACAAAACUUAGAAACACUUUUUUUAUUUUUUCUUCUUAUUUGCCGCCGGCCCUCGUCGGCCGGUCGCCGGCCAUGGCUGAGGUCGGCGACCGGCCAAAAGAAGAAAAAAGAAAAAAGAAAAAAUAGAAAAAAUAAAAGAAAUAAAAAAAUUAUACAAAUUUACCAAACGUGUUUCUAUUUAUUUUUUGUUCCCGGAACAAAUUUACUAAACGCGUUUUUUUGUUCAGAAAUUGUUUCCAGGAACAGAAACAAUUUUUUUUAUUUCUGUUCCGUGGAACAAUUUUUAAAUAGAAACGCAAACAAACGCACCCAAAGAAUCAACUUUUUUUUUACUUCUCGAUUUUAUUCCAAAUCUAUUUUAGGAAUAGAAAAUAGAAAUUUAUUCUCGAGAACAAAAAUUUUGUCAAACGAAUUUCUCUUCCAAAUCUACUCCCGAAAACAAAAGAAUAGAAAUUAUCACUAUUUGGCAAAUUGCCAAACAGAGCCUAAGAGGCUUGAGAGCCAAUGAGAGAAGAAACACAAAAUACAACAGAAUCCACAUAUUAGCACCCAAAUGUUGCACCUGCAGUCCAAUGCUCUGACAGAAGGCUGUUUCUAAAAUUACUCGAAACCUACCCCCGAGCCAGCAAAUUAUUUUAAGAACCCAAGAAAGCUAGCAAGAGUACAUUUUUCUAGACAUCUGUCCAAGAAGCGACAGACGUGGAUGUUAGAAAACACAAAAAAAGAGAUUCAAAAUAAGAUCUGGAACAGCUGACAACAGAUAUUUAACCAAGAACACCUUAUACUCAAUCAAGAAAGCAUGACUGUAAGGAACUAGCAGAGCAAUGCAAAUUGAUUGCAGAGAGACCAUAACCAGAGGGUAUUUUGAAGAAUCAAUUUUGAUGAAGAAUAGAAAGAUUGUUAGUGUAGCAACAACAAAUAGAUUAUGCAGGCUGCCUGCUUCAACAGUCACCAUUUAGGCAUGUGAAACUAUAACAUGUGUCUCAUCUCCAUAAACUAAAAGGCCAUAUUCAAAGAUAUGCCCAAGGGUCACACUAGAUAGUAAGAGAAGAAUACAGGAAGCAAAUUGGUUAACCCUACUUGGUAUAUUCUCAAAGAAUGAAAACACUGUCAGGAAUUUAAAACAGCCCAAGAUGAAAUACAAGAAAGCCUCACUCACUUCUAGUAUAUAAUAUUAAAGGAACCCUACAAAGUUCUGCAGGGUGAACUUUGCCUAAUACUUGAAACAAGAACAAGAUGCCAUCCACAUCCAAGAUAUGCAGGAAACAAAAAAGAAUUACACAAUGAAGCACAUGAGAACUGUAAAAGGCAAGGUAUGACGCACGUUAAGUAGUUGGAUAAAGUUUUGCUGCAUCCAGUUGCAAUCUUCAAGGUUUCCAGAGCACAAGCAGCUGAUAUGAUUGCAUUAGUUGAAGCUAUAGCUGGUAUAAUAUUUUUCACAACACCCUGGAUAGAAACAAUAAAAAUGAGCUUAUCUUGAAAUAGUAAUCUUAGAAUUAAUCACAUGAUAAACGAAGCAAGACAAGUUUACUCGUAAUUGUACAAGUUGACAUUAAAAAUAGGAUGACAAAUCAAGUAGGGUUUACAGCAUGACCUGAGGAAUUUAAUAUUCUCUACCAUUUAACAAAUAAUCAAAGCGUAGAGAACAACUCCAGUAUUAGGAUGAAGCACAAAAUCAUGAAUCUAACUCACAAUACUUAGAAGUUUGUUUUCCCUACUUAUAAGAAAAAUGCUUCCUUAAGAUUUUUAACAUAAUGACAACAGCAAAGCAGAUUUUAAAGCUCAGUAACAUGCAAAAAAGGAAAAUAUCUAGGCAGUUAACAACACUAGGAGAACUAAUGCACCUGAGUGAGGGAAUAAGUCACUCCUGGAAUUCCGAAGAGGUCUGCUCUUUUGACAGCCUGCAGAUCAAGUUUUAGAAAAAUGGAUAGUCCAAAAAGGAAAUUAAUGUCUAGACAAAUCACCAAACGAUUUGAUUGCAACUGUAGUAACCUCGGAAUAAACCCACUGCAUAUGUCCUGGAUCAUCAGGAUCAAAUGACUUUCCACUAUGGACCUACAGGUGAAAAUCCAACACAAAUGACAAAAUAAGAUACAGUACUUAAAUAUAACAGAUCACACGAUGAACGAAUUGGACAGCUUACAAAUUUAGCUUAUCACCUCAUCCCAUUUUAUUAGAUGUGCAUAUUCAAUACAAUGAGCAGCGGUUCUUGGGGUUUCUGCGAGGGUACAGAGAGGAAAUUUCACUUGUGGGGGGAAAAGCCAGAUGGUACACUCGAAGCAUGGGGUGACCCCUGGUUUUAUAACUCUUGCAUGCCCCUUAAAACCUUCCGUCCCACCAUCCACCAUGGGUUUCAUCGUUUCUUCCCUUGGAUUGUCAUCAGAAUCGUAUUCUGUAAUGUCAUUCAACAACAGUGAAGCUCAAUCAGAUUGUGAGCUAGGUUGGCAAAAGCUCCUACUUCCAGUAUUCAUCAGAAAGCAUUAAUUGCCUAAACUAGCUAUUAGUUAGAAUGCAGCCACUGUUAGAUGUUUAAAGAUCAAUAAGGACCAUAUGCAGUAAAUUGAAAUUAAAGCUGGACUUUUGAGCCAAAAAGAAGCUUAAAUUGACAAGUACAACCAAUAUGACUGUACUUACAUCAGCCUGAUCUCUCUUACUUACAAUGGUUACUGAUAUAUAGUCAAAAAAAUCUCUCAAAGUCUCCACCAUGAAUUCUUGGGGCUCCAUCAACCUUUUGGAAGUAUCCACUAGCAUUAAGUCGCAUAAAAAUUUCAAAAAGAAUUUCUUGCUAAAGCAUGUGAAGUUAUUGUGCUUUCUAAACCCCCUCAAAUUACUAAUGGACAAAACAUUUGGAUGCUGAGUUGUAGUACUAUCGUUUCCGAUCUAAUUUCGAGUAAGAAUACACAAAAAGCCUGACCAUACAAACAAUUAAGCACUAAAAUCAAGGAAACUGUACAGCAAGUAUGCUACAGAAGAACUAAAACAUUCAAAUACAAAAAACCCAUACACAUGCGUCAACUUGAUCCAAUAACACCACAAACCCUGUAAAUCUAUAAAGAAUAAUAAACCAAAGAUUUGAUCCCGAAAUGGCAGAUAAAACACAAUUUCAACGUUUAUAAAUCGGAGGGAUCAUGGAUACACACCUAGAAAGCUACAAGCAACGGCAUUUAUGUAGCUCCGUGCCUCGAUCGAGUCGAGACCGAGGACAAUUAUAUUGAAAUCGCUGUAGAAAUCGAGCUCCUUAUCCUCAAUCCUGCAGAAAUGAGGCACGAUAUUCACUCCACUGACUCUUUCCAUGACUCUCUUAGCUGCCACUUCGGCCUUUGGCUUCCCGACAUCCUCAAGCCUGUGAACAUUCCCAGAAAGAAGAAUCAAGAUCAAAUCACUACUCACUCACACCUCAAACGCAAGAAAACACCAUUCGAAAGCAAAUCAGAACAUGUCACAAGGGCGAUUCCUAUAAGGGUAAAUUAAAAAAAAAAAAAAAAAUUCAAACACCUGAACAAGAACUGGCGAUUGAGAUUAGUGACCUCGAUUCGGUCCAUAUCAAUGACGUCCAGAUUCUUGAAACCCGACAGAGCCAAGUCCUUCAACAGCUCGCAACCCAACCCACCUGCUCCCACCACCAGCACUCGCGCGUAUUCUCGAAGAUCGUCCCUCAGCUGCCAAAACCCACGAGGAGUUCAGCUCCAAAACCCGCAUCGACAGUCAAAAGAAACAAAACGCAGUUCAAAUUACAACCGAAGGCAGACGAGGAGGUCUUAGAGGAGGUCUUACCUCGGGCCCAGGUUCGAAGUUGGGUUCGACGAGGUUGCCGGGUCGGAGGAGGAGCUUGUCGAGGUCUCUCGACCUGCUGGCCUGGAGGGUCGAGCCCGCCAUUCCGAGCUUCCCUCCGGUGAAGAGGGCGGCGGAGGAGGAGGAGGUGAUUCGAGCGCAGAAGCAGGAGGCGAUGCUCUUAGGGUGUGCAUGUUUUUGUUUCUCGGAUCCGUUUAAAAACAGAUUUUGUGUUUUUUUUUGUUCUCGGGUUGCGUUUCUAUUCUUUUUUUGUUCUUUUUUCUCGGAACAAAAUUAAAACAAAAAAAAAACAAAAAAAACUUACUUCUAGAAUCCAGAAACACUUCUUCUUCAAGGCCUAAAAAGAAUAAAACUAAAAAAACAAAAUCGGAACACUUCUGGAGGUGGGUUCGUUCGUGCCCGAAGGCUUUCGUUCAUGCUCUCCCUUUUCCGGCGUCUCUCCCUUCUCUCCGGCGCCUCCCACUCGACUGACUCUCCGGCGACUCCCCACUCCGCUGACUCUCCGGCGCCUCCCCACUCGGCUGACUCUCCGGCGCCGACAGGUGGUGCUCCUUCACCGGCUGAAGCUUCCGAAUCCAGGUAAGUUUCUGCUGCUCCUCCUUCUCCGUUCGAAGAGGGCUUCGGCGAGAGCCGCCCCUCGCAAAUCUGGGCGACGGCUGCUCGCCCAGAUCUGCGGCAGCGUCUGCUCGCGACGCUCGCUCGAGUGAGCAUCGCGAGCAACAGCGUUCUGCUCGCUCGAGCAAGCGUCGCUGCUCUGCUCGCUCUUGCCCAUGUCGCGGCCUUACCCUGUUCGUCUCCUCACCGAAAAUGGGCUGACGUUGUCCUCUCUCUCUCUUUCUUGGAUGCAGGAAGAACAAGAGGAUCUCGAAGGGGAAGAAGGGUGGGAAGAAGAAGGCGUGAGUGCUCAAUUCCGCCUCGACUUUGUGGAAAUCGAUUCCUGUUUUGGGGUGCUGGUUCUGCUGUGGUUUGAUCUUUUUUCUUGUCUGGUCUGGGGGAACAUGCAUUGGAUUACGAUGUGAUAGACAAAUUGUUGUAAUCAUAGAUGAAAUUGCAUUGCCUUUCUCCAUGUCUAGUUGUACCAAUGUUCUAAGAGCUUGGAGUUAGUUUUGCUACAUAGUGAAGAGUCAUGUUCACCACUUCAUCUUCUGUUUGUCUCCCCCUUGAUAUAUCGAAAGCAUGUAGAAUUUCUGCUGGUGCAUAUAGGAAAGAGGACAUAGAGUUUUCUAUCUACAAUAACCUUGGCUGCUUAGUGCUUGGAUGUUCUGCAAAUUACACAUCUGAAAAGAGCAUCUAAUGGCAGGUGGUAUCUGAUGAUUGGCACGUAAUCUGUUGGAGCAUGUGCAUUUGCAUGUCGAGGGAAGCAAGAUUGAUCUAUUCAGUAUGAACUGGUUAUGGAGGAUGCCGCCAGUUCUGGAUUCUUGUGCAAGUUGAUGAGUGUUGUCUGAUGCGGCAUAGAAUUAGUUCAUUUAUUGGUCUUGUGAAGUGGAUUGAUCUGUAAAGGAGCACAUUAGAUAAAAUUAAUACUUGACAGUGGAGCUGAAAGUGUUAAGAGCUAACAGUGCACGUCUGUCUGUCAGAUCUUAUGCUAUAAGAAGUUGGAAAAAGGGUAAAGAUGGCUAUGUAUGAUGCUGAAGAAUUACAAGUUACUAGAAUGAUUUGUAGAUAAUUAGAUAAGGCUAAAAAUUCAAUAGGCAGUGCAUAACCUUACGUAUAGUUAGUAGGAAAUAUACCGUAUCAAGGUCACUGUUCAUCUCCUCUCUCAAGAGCAGGCGAUCGUGCACUGUUCACGCCGACUGGUUCCCUGCUCGGCUUGGACGAUUCGGCCUCCCUCUUGCUCCGAUUUUUGGGGGUUUUUCUUCCCCUCUCCUUCCUCCAUCUUCCCGCUCCUCCUCGGCUCUGGUUCGACGGUCUUCCUCCAUCUUCCCGCUCCUCCUCGGCUCUGGUUCGACGGUCUUCCUCCAUCUUCCCGCUCCUCCUCGGCUCUGGUUCGACGGUCUUGCGGGAGCUGCGCACGCUCGGACCCGUCUCGGCUCUGGCUCGGGACGGCUGGGGGGUCCCUCUCGGCUCACGCUCGGACCCGCCUCGGCUCGCGCACCGACCCGUCUCGGCUCUGGAUCGUGACCUCCACUCAGCCCUAGUUCGAGACUUGCGGGAGCUGCUCGGGAUCGUGGCCUGCUCGACUCUGGUCUUGAGGUGGCUGGGGUGGUUCAAGUAUCCCUCCUCUUCGAAGCUUGGCCUGAUAUGGAGCUCCUCUUUGGCUGUUGAUUUGUUGUCUUAGUGGCUCGAUGGUCUCUACUUCGGUGGAACCUCGACUAGGUGGUAGCAGGGGCAAGGGGCCGAGCUCCCCUCCUCACAAGGCUGUGGACCGGCAAGCUAGCAAGCCGGGCCAGCAAUCCCAACCCGUAGGAGAGUCUUCUGUGGCAGGGGAUGGCUCGAGACGUGGGCCAAUCUCUCGGCCUCUUUGGGAAGGCCGUUCUCGGGGUCGAAGUCAAGUUCGGGCUCUUAAUAAGAGGGCCCCGAACAAGCCAGUAAGCUCGUCAAGGCCCCCCCAAGCCCGUUCGUGGGCCAAUGUGGCACGGUUGGCCACAAAGGGCUACGGCCUUUCAUAUAUUCCUCCUGUUGCUGCUGUUGUGGGAGAGAAAGCGGUUGUAAAUUUGUCGGGAGAAGUGCUGCAAGCUGCAAAUCCCAAAUGGAAUGAGUUCUUGGUAGGAUAUUUUAUUGGGAGGAAGCUUCCUUUUCAGAUGAUCGAACAAACUUUGAAGAAUAUUUGGGGGACAAAGCUAGUUGAUAUGUUGGCGGAUGACCAAGAGUUCUACUAUUUCCAUAUUCCGGACCCGGAGUUCAGGAGGAAGAUCCUAGAGGAGGGACCGAUCACUGUAGCUCGGAUGCCCCUUAUUUUACAACAAUGGAAACCCCUUAUGGAGUUGAAGAAGGCUAAGCAAACCUCUGUUCCGGUGUGGAUAAGACUCAAGAACCUUCCCCUUGACCUGUGGUCCGCACCGGCGAUUAGUGUUAUAGCCAGCUCCGUUGGCAAAUCCCUUUAUGUGGAUCAACGAACCGAGGGCACGAGGAUGAUUUCCUUUGCCAGAAUAUGCGUGGAGAUCUAAGCUAAUCGCCCAAGAGUUUCGACAGUGGAAGUGAGUGUUGAUGGGGUCACUAGGUCCAUUGCUGUGAACUAUGAAUGGAGGCCUCUUGAAUGCUCCAAGUGUGGGGUCUUUGGACAUAAAUGUGAUGUUGGCCCGCCCCCUGUUCGGCCUCUUCCUGCUCCUUUGGACACUACUCGCCCCCUUGACCAACCCGCCGAGACUCCUGAAGACUCGGAGCAAGGCUGGAAGCAAGUGAAGAGCAAGAAGAAUAAGGCUCAACCUUUGGAGGGGAUGUUACCCAGUCCUAGUGAAGGAGAGAGGUCUUUGAAUCUCAAGACUACGGCUAUGGAGAAGAGGCUGCCUGGUACUUAUUCACGAAGACCCCCUAGGGGGCCUUUGAUUAUCUCGGAGCAGGGUGAUAUUGCUCUAACUACUUCGGCUGAAGCUAUCACCACUUCGGUGCCGGUAGACACUGCGGUGCCCCGCCUGGAGGUUGUAGGGGGCACAGACAUCUCUUUGUCGGAGGAUGACCUCCUCUCCCCUUGCACUUCACCGAAGGCAUCUGUAGAGGAGGAGAGGCCUACUGAGACGCCGAAGCAUCCUCCUUCGACUACACAGGACAACCUGCUUGCUCUUGCCCCGGAUCCUCCUCCUUCGACAAUUCGGACAGCUCCGCCUAUUACUAGGCGUAGUUCCUCUAAAAGGAGGUAAUGCUCUUGCCCUCUUCUUUUGUAUAUAUAUGUAUAUAGGUUGCUGGAAUAUUAGAGGGCUUGGUGCCUCGCUCAAGCAAGCGGAAGUGAGGAACUUCGCUUUGAUGAACCGGUUGGCUUUGAUCGGGGUAGUUGAGACUAAAAUCCCUCAUAACCUCUUCAAUGCCAUUUCUGGGAACUUGAUUUCGAAUUGGUGCUGGCGGGCUAAUUCUGAGUAUUCUAAUCGGGGUAGGAUUUGGGUUGGUUGGGAUCCUACUGUGGUUUCCUUUGAAGUUUUGUCGGUCUCGGAUCAGAUGAUUCUUGGGAAGCUUUGCUGGUUGGAGACCGGAGUAGCCUGCUAUGUCUCUGUUAUUUAUGCUGAGCAUUCCUUUUCUACUCGCCGACCUCUUUGGGAGGAUUUGGUGGUGAGAAGCUAUUCUCUGCAGGACGUGCCUUGGCUUGUUUUGGGAGACUUUAAUGCUAUAAAGGACCCCUCGGACAGAUUGGGUGGCUCGGACCUUUGGUUGCCGUGCUUCGAUGAAUUUCGGCAGUGUCUGGAUCAGGCGGAGCUGGAUGACCUUCGGUAUGUGGGGUUUCGAUACACUUGGUCGACCUCUUCAGGGCCCUCUCGGAAAAUGAGAAAAAUUGAUAGAGUCCUGGUAAACCCUUGUUGGAGCCAAGUUUUUUCCUUUUCGGAAGCGUCCUUCCUUGCGCCUGGGAUUUCCGACCACUCACCUAUGGUGGUAAAGGUGGAGAACCCGAUCCUUCGGAAAAGGCCGUUCAAGUUCUUCGACUUCUGGAUGCAGCAUCCGGAUUUCGACUCAAUUGUGAAGCAAGUUUGGGAGAAUCCGGGUUAUGGAGUGCUCAUGUUUAGGCUGGUGCGCAAACUAAAGAUCUUGAAGGGUCGGCUCAAGCAGUUAAAUAGAGAUUCCUUCGCCAACAUCUCUGUAAGGUCUUCUGAAGCGAGGGAAGCCUUAAAGCAAACUCAAGUGGGCCUUCUCAAUGACCCUACUAGCAUGGUCCUCGCAGACCUGGAGAGAGCUCAGCGGCGUACUUUAGUGGAGCUUAGGUCUCAGGAAGAGUCAUUCUUUAGACAGAAAGCUCGUAUAAGAUGGCUCAAAGAAGGUGACCGGAACACAAAGUUCUUUCACCAGUAUGUCAGUAAGAGACAUCUGAGAAACAGAAUUCUCUCUGUUGUGGAUUCCUCAGGUAACCAAAUCACUGAGCCUCAAUUGGUCCAAUAGCAUUUUGUGGAGCAUUUUCAUGAUUUCCUUAAGCCAAGGAUGGAGCUGGACACCCCUCAAGUAUCGGAGAUUCGGGAAGUUAUCCGCACCCAGCUGAAUGAUGAUCAGAUUUCUUUUCUUGCUCGCCCUGUGUCUGAUCUGGAGAUUCGAGAUACUCUUUUUUCCCUUGCCAAAGGUAAGGCACCAGGUCCGGAUGGCUUCACGGCUGAGUUCUUCAAGGAGAAUUGGGAUACGGUGGGUCAGCUGGUCACAGAAGCCGUCAAGGACUUUUUCACAUCGGGGAGACUACUCAGAGAAAUCAAUAACACCAUUUUGGUCAUGGUUCCGAAGGUUCCCACUGCGACUACCGUUGAUGAUUACAGGCCUAUUGCUUGUUACAACACGGUCUACAAGAUUAUUACCAAAGUGAUGGCGAAUAGGGUUGCAGCAGUGCUAAAAGACCUUGUCAAUCCGUCUCAGAGUGCCUUCGUCAAGGGACGACGAAUUAGGGAUAAUAUUCUCUUGGCGCAGGAACUUUUCUCUAAGUUCCAUAUCGAACCAUAUUCUCCCAAGUGUGCUAUCAAAGUCGACUUCAGAAAAGCGUAUGAUACCGUGGAUUGGCGGUUUCUCGAGAGUGUACUACUUGCUUUUCGAUUUCCUGAUCAAUUGGUUCACCUCAUCAUGACCUGUGUGAGGACUCCUCGGUUUUCCAUCGCGUUGAAUGGGGAGUUACAUGGUUUCUUCCCUAGUGGGCGAGGCUUACGUCAGGGAGACCUCAUCUAUCCCUACUUAUUCACGUUGGUUAUGGAGGUGCUCUCUGGGAUUCUUGGGAGGUGCUCGCUACAGCCGGAUUUCAGAUUCUACUGGAGAUGUAAGACUACUUGCCUCUCGCACUUGUUUUUCGCGGAUGAUGUCUUUCUAUUUUGCGAGGGCCACCUGCCAUCCGUGAAGCUUCUCAGGGAUGGUCUCCAUAUGUUUUCUUCUUGGAGCGGACUUUUCCCAAACCCAAGGAAAAGCGAGGUGUUCAUCUCGGGAGGCUUGCCGACCUUGAAAAAUCAAAUCCUCCUGGAGCUUGGCUUUGUUGAGGGUAACCUUCCAGUCCGUUAUCUUGGGGUUCCAAUUAUCACAUCGAGGCCUCGGAAGGCAGAUUGCGUUGAACUUGUGAGGCGCAUCACCUCCAGGGUGCAGUCCUGGACUCAUCGGUUUCUUUCUUUUGCUGGCCGACUUCAGCUGAUCAGGUCAGUCCUCCAUGCCAUUCAGGCUUUUUGGGCAAGUGUCUUUAUUCUUCCUGCAGCUGUACUGGACCAAAUAGAGCGCAUUCUCAGACAAUUCCUUUGGAAGGGACCUGAGUUGGGCAGGGGGGGUGCCAAAGUCUCAUGGGAAGAUGUAUGCCUUCCUAAAGUGGAGGGAGGUCUUGGUAUCCGGAGAUUGUGUGAGUAUAAUAAGGCGGCCAUGCUCAAGCAUAUCUGGAAUCUAUUUUCAGAUAAAGAAUCGUUAUGGUGUAAGUGGGUCCACUCGACCUUCUUAAAAACCAAGAACUUUUGGGUAGUUAAAAAGCCAACCUGCUGCUCUUGGGCGUGGAAAAUUUUUUUACAACUCAGGACAGAUUUCCGGCUUCACUUCCACUGGAGGGUAGGCGAUGGAUUAUCAACGUCACUCUGGUUUGACAAUUGGCAUCCCAGGGGUCCUUUGAAUUUAUAUUUCACGGAUCCCCUCAUCUACAGCUCCGGUCUCUCUAGGCAGGCUUUGGUUGCCGAUCUCUUCUCUGAGGAUGGACAAGCUAUCAGAUCAGAGAUUGAGUCUUGGGGUUCGCCGCUUCCUUCCUUGUCUGGAACCCAAGAUCGGUUCUGUUGGAGGGAGGACUCGACGGGCUUGUUCUCGGUGGCCUCGGCUUGGGAGGCCUUAAGGAGGAAGAAGGCCAGAGUCAAUUGGCAUUGUUUCAUUUGGAGUAAUGCCAUCCUGCCUCGCUACCAACUAAAUCUGUGGCUCAUCACCAAGAGGAGGUUACCUACUCAAUCUCUUCUCAUGUCUUAUGGUAGGAUUGAUGCUGCUUCCUGCCCUUUUUGCAACGAGGUGCCUGAUUCAAUCAAUCAUCUCUUUUUUGGUUGUCGCAUUACCUCGAGUAUUGCCUUUUUCUGGGCUACUAGAUGCAAUCUCCCCUGGACCAACAGGACUUGGGAGGAGACUCUCAGUUGGGCCAUUACCUUGCUUAGCGGCAAGGAGUUUUAUAAGCGUGUUGCCCGGUUCUCCUUUGGGGCGCUGUGUCACAUCAUCUGGAGAAACAUGAACAAUAUUCUGUUCAGGGGGGAACCGUUAUCUAUUUCGGCCAUGAAGAAGCAUCUCCUCAAGGUUGUUAAGGAUAAGGCCCUUACCUUUGAGAAUGUUGAGGACUCUCCCAGGAAUAGGCGGAUGCAACGCUCAUGGGAUGUGGACCCCAUUAUUUUCGCUUCCUCUGAUUAUAGUCUGACUUAGGCUUUUCGGUGGUUGUUUAGGUGUUUUUGCCAGGCUUGUUUUGCCGUUGGCUUGCUGUAGGUCGUUUUGUUUGCUUGUCCGCGGCUUCCUUUCACUCUUAAUGAGCGUGUUCAUUUUGAGUGUAAGCUUUUGGAGCCGUGUUGUUUGUACAGUUUGACCCCUAUUAAUAUAUUGCUUACUCUUACCAAAAAAAAAAAAAAAACCUUACGUAUAGUUUUGAUGAUACAUCAAAACCAUGCCAAAGUGGCGAGUCAAUUGUCUUUUGGUGCUUGCCAUGCACAAAUUAGGAAACGGCCCAUGCUUGCAUAGGGAGUUCACUCAUUCCAGUCAUGCUUAUGGAUUAUGGCAUCUUCUUUCUCAUAUCAAUUUUAUGUUCAUUAUUACGGCCUUUAAAUCCUUUUUUUUUUCGGGGGUGAGUCUAGGUAGAUCGAGAUGUUACUCUAAGUGAGGCUCUUCUUAGCUAUGACAAAUGGCUUGGAAAGAAGGGCAUAAAGAACACAAAUUUCACUGUUGUUACCUGGUCCAACUGGGAUUGCUGGGUGAUGUUGGAAUCCGAGUGUCGAUAUAAGAAAAUUCGAAAGCCUUCUUACUUCAACAAGUGAGUUGAUGAUAUGUAACUAGCAUGCAGACUUAGAUUCUUUGAUGCUUAAUUUUGACAUUUUCUCUCUUCCUUUCACUAGAUGGAUUAACCUAAAAGUCUCAUUUCAGGAAGUUUUCGGAGGUCUAAGAUGUAAUCUUAAGGAGGUGGUUGAGAUGGCUAGCUUGACCUGGCUCGGGCGUGCUCAUUGUGGUUUAGAUGAUGCAAAAAACACAACUCGCUUGCUUAUGGUUCUUUUGUGCAGGGGAAUCAGAUUUUCCAUCACCAACUCUCUAACAUUGUAUGACAAUGACCAUACUCUGAUAUCAAAGCACUCUCCUCCCCAUCAGCCGCACACACAGAAGGAUUUGCGGGGUCCUCAAUCACUAUAUAAUCCUUGUUGUUUCUGUGGCAUCAAGAGCAGCGUAGGCUUUGUUCGGAACCCAAGUACAAAGCAAGGGAACUUCUUCUUUUGGUGUGGCAAUUGGGUUGCUGCGAGAGGUUGCGGAUGCUGUUAUUUUCAGUGGGUGGCUUCUUGACUGGAUGUAACUUUCCUGGUUGACAUCUUCGGCUUUCUUAGGUGCUCCCUAUCACAUUAGGUAGGAACCGCAUCGGGAGCUUCCAUUUAAAUUAGUUGAAUGACUUUAUGAUAGUUUUUUUUAACUUGAUUGAAAGAAAAACAAAUUGAGUUGGCACACUGCUGUUGAAAGAUUGCGAUACUGAUACGUAAGAAAACUGUCAUCUAUUGUUGAAGAACUCUUCUCUAUAAAGCUGACAUCUUGUUGACUUGUGAAAUUCAUUAAGGAGUUGGUACAGCUGAUAUGAUUUUUUGGUAACUAGCAUGAUGAAGAAUGGAAAUCUAUUGCUGCCGGUCCUCUUCGCUCCUGUUACGUUGCUUGGUAGGCAUCUAUAGCUAAGUAUGUUGGUGAGGGCUACACUGAUGCUAGCUCUGCAUAAGCUAAGACCCUGCAUGUUUUCAUUUCUGAAAAGUGUUCCUGGAACACUUUUUUAGUUUUUUUGUUCCCGGAACACAAAAAGAAUAGAAACGAGAAAAAAAAAAGUUGUUUCUUGUUCCAUAAACAAUUUUAAAGAAACGCUUCUCUUUUCUUCUUAUUUUCUUCUUCUUUUUUCUUUCGCCGGUCGCCAACCUCGGUCAUGGCUAGCGAUCGACCGUUGAGGGCCGACGACGCCGUCGAGGGUUGGCGACCUUGUCGGAGCGUCGCCGACCCCCGAUGAGGCCGAGCCUCGCCAUGGCUGGGCGAGCUUGAGCUCUCUGGGGGCCGACGAGCCUCGCCGUGGCUGGGUGAGGUUGCCGGCCGAAAGAAGAAAAAAUAAAAAAGAAAGGAAAAAAUGAAAAAUAAAAUCAAAAUAUUAAAAAAUUAAAAGAAACAAAAAAAGAAUAAAAUUUACCAAAUGUGUUUCUGUUCAUUUUUUAUUUUCGAAACAAGUUUACCAAACGCGUUUUUUUAUUCAAAAAUUGUUUCUCGGAACAGAAACACUUUUUUUUUAUUUCUGUUCGCGGGAACAAAAAAAAAAAAACAGAAACGUUACCAAACACUCCCUAAAAUACGAGGUGAACCUGUUAACUUUCUUUUGCGGAGGCUUUUUAUAUCAAGAUCCAUCAUAUCUUCACUUUGAAUGUCCCAAUCACAAUCGCAACCUCAUGAAGGCCUCCAUAAUAACCGAUGCAUCAAUAACAACAGAUCAGAUCACAUUAAAUCUGAAGACACCAAGUAUGUCAUAUGAUCAUGUUCAGAAUGUUUGUCUUCACUCACCAUGAAUAAAAUUAAAUUAAUUAACAUUUUAUGAGAAUGAGAAUUCAAUAUCAAGUUUAAAUUUUAUUAAAAAAAAAGAGUUUUUUUUGAAAAAUUUGAAACAGAAAUUUUGUACAGUUACCGAACAUAUUUAUGUUUUUUUUUCUAUUCUAGGAACAGAAAUUGAGUGCAAUUAGCAAACGUGUUUCUGUUUUUUAUUUAUUUAUUUUAAGGACAGGAUUUUUUUACACUUACCAAAUGCGUUUUUUUUGUUCAAAAACUGUUCCCCGGAAUAGAAACAUUUUUUGAACAGCAACGUUACUAAACGCGCCCUUAACUUUUGGUUUCCGAUUCCAAAGGGACCGGUUCGGUUCCCGAUUUCAAAUGGACCAGUUUCGGUUUCCACUUCCUUUUUUCUGGGAACCGGAACCGCUUAUGGAACCUGUUAUGGAACCGGUUAGAACUCAGACUUAGGGCUCCAAACGAAAAGCCCCAAAUCUCUCGACGCUUUCAGCCUUUCUCAGUUUCACUCAUAGUUUCCCCCGGAACUCGCCCUCGACGCCGCGCCAGACGCCGCUCGCCCUCGACGCCGCGCCAGACGCCGCUCACCCUCAACGCCGUGUCGGACGCCGCUCGCCCUCGCCAGACGCCGCUGGACGCUAGUCGCCGACGCUGCUCGCCCUAACCCUCAGGUCCCUCGCCGCUCGACGCCAGUCAAAGUCUCUCCCGUUCUCUGCCUCUGCCCGUCGGCGACGCCGCCGCCGGACGCCGCUCGCCCUCGCCGGGGACGCCGCUGAACACCAGUCACCGACGCCGCUCGCCCUAACCCUCGCCACUCGACGCCAAUCAGACUCUUAAUAGUUCUCUGCCUCUGCCCGUUGCCGCCGCCGCUCGCCCUCGAUGCCGCCGCCGCCGAACGCCGCUCGCCGGCCCAGUCUCGUUUGAAUCUUCUCCGCUAGUCGUAUCUUCGCUUGUGAACAAUUGUAAAAGCUUUCGAUCACCAGCUCGUAUGCUCGUUGCAGUCCCGGCUUAGCUUAAAAAAUCCAGGUAACCUGUUCUCUUUGUGCUGCCCUGUUUCACUCGAAGUCUAAGCUGAAGCUCGAUUUCUUCAGAUCAGAGGACUAUCAGGGAAGAGACGGCAACUGAUAACCUGGUUCAGAGGACUAUCAGGGAAGAGACGGUAAUUGCACUGUCAUAACCGUUGCUCACCGGAUUCCCACUGUCAUGAGUAUUCAUUUUUAGGUCCUUAAAAGUAGCACUACCAAUUGUGUUCACAGAAAGCUGAAAAUUAUGAGUAUUCAUUUUUCCCCUCUAGUCUCUUAUAAGAUCUGUUUGAAGGACUCCCAAUAUGGGAAAAAUAGGAAUACUCUUUCUUGCAUUUGAACAACGUCAUUAUGAACAGUUUAUUUUGAACAAGCUAUGCGUUCAACAUCUGCUACUUUUAUCCUACAAGUAUUCUAAUUUCAUGGUUAGCUCAGCUUUGAGGUUUCUGUCCAGCAACUUUUAGUGGUGUUGGCUUUUCUUUGUCUUGUUUUCAAUGCUAAAUCUCAUGAAUGCUGGGUUUCCCCUUGCACUUCUUUUGACUUGGCUAGUGUUUUCAGUGUAGCCUGGAAAAUUUACAUGUCAAUCAAAACUAUUUGCUAAAGGCAGUUUCUUGCAUGGUGCCAGCUAAUCAACCAUUUUAUGGCCCUGGAGAACUUUAAUACGUUACCACAAAUUGCGAUUUCCUAGGUGUGCUGUGUGGACUGUUGGCUAGCAGUCAUUGCUGAAAAUUGAUUUUAAAUCGUUUGCUGUGAACUAUUGUCGUUCAAACCAUUUCAUUUUCUAUGGACUGUUUGCAUUGACAGGUUCAUUGAUGAUAUUCCUUCAGGGAAUUGUAUCUGUAUACAAUGGUAUGGCUAGAUAUAGUUGUGACCUGUAUCUCUUGCAGGUGUAAAAAGAUUCGUAUACAUCUUUGCAGCUGACUUUGGUGUCGUGAAUUAUUUACUCCAGGGAUAUUAUGAGGGAAAGGUAUUGUCUAUAAAAUUUACAUCUUGUCAAGUGUACAGAAUUUGGUAGUUAAAGCUUCGAUUAUUGGGAUGCCUUAUUUAUUAUCCAUAAAUUUGCUCUAAUGCUUUUUGAUGAAGCUUUUUUCAAGUGCAAGUUUAGUCAGAUAUGAGUGAAUGCUUUCUGAGUGCAAUGCCAAAUCUAUAAGCUGGAUUCAACUGCUUAAUAUAUAGAUGACUUAUGCUUCACAUCAGCUUGAAGAAUAAUGAGCACUAUGUUAGAUUUCGAUCUUACUGAUUUCUCUUUCAUUUAUUUUGGCUACAGAGAGCUGCUGAAACAGAGCUGCUGACAAAGUUCCCUUAUGGAGGUGAUAUAACUGUUUUUCCUUUACUUGUAAAUAGGCCAUGUUAGGAAUCUGCACACUAAAAGAGCUAAUGAUUUACCAAAGUGCCUUGCAACCCGUACCUGGAUGGAUUUGUAUAGAAUUGGGGUCAAUAACUCUUGAGCGAUUAUCUUAUUGUUGGAUUAAGAUUGAUGUGCUUAUGCAGGCCCUAUGGUUUUUAAGUGCAUGAACGGUAGAAGUCUUGUAAGACCGACUGUUGAUGAUGGAUGUUGUCGCGCCGUUCUAAUCCCGUGAGUCUUGUGGGUAUCAACCUAGAGUUUUCUGAACAGUGCUUGAUGAUGCAUGUUGUCGCGUUGUUCUAAUCCUUUGAGCCUAACUGUCAAUUGUUUGACUUUUCAAAUCUGAAAAUGAAAAAAAGAACAUGUUGGAACCUGGAACCGACCCUGGAACCUGUGACAGGUAGGUUCUAGGUUCUUGAUUCUAACGGGUAGGUUCUAGGUUCCGGAUGGAACCGAACCGGAACCGAGAACCGCUCAGCCCGAUCAACUAGCCAUGAUUUUGCAGUGCGCCGGAGCUCUCCGUAUAUCAGAAAUGGAGACAUGAGAAGCUGUGACCAGUUGAGGCCCAGGCCCACUUCUAAACGAAAUCAUAAGCAGCGUAAAAUGUAUACUAUACUCAAUCUAAACCGUUGAAGAUAACGAGGUUACUGAAUCCUAUUAAAUUUCACAUUGCAAAUUAAAUUUAGCAUAUAUAUAUUUAUUCACUCGAGAGACUAGCUCGAUUAAUUAUUUUUCAUUUUUGUUUUCCCUUUUGUAAGUUCGACACUGACGAAUCCAAUUGGAUUCAUUCAAGAAAACGAGACUUCCAUGAAAUUAGAAGACAUUUAGGGAUAAUCAGUCCAGUCUAGCAGGGUUUUAAUGAAACUGAUCCCUUUUUAUUUUCACUACUUGAUGCCAUAUGUUCAAAAACUGGAAUUGUGUUCCUCACUGUUUUUUAAGAAAAAGAUGUAAGUAAAAAGACCCUAAUUAUGUGCUCAUAUCUCUUCUACAAUAAAUAGAAAUUAAAAAGUAGAUCUAUAAACAACAAUGACCUAAUACACUAACUGAAAGGGGAAGAGACCAACCCUAUACAUUUUAUUGUAAAACGAACCUUUUAAUGAGUUUCUAUGUACAAUGAAUCAGGUGACAAAUUUGAGAUAUUGACGGAAGCAAUGACAAGUAGAUAGUCAUUGUCUUGUAGCUUGUGCUACCACUGGAUGAAAAAUGUUUGGUCCAUAUUUUAUUAAUUUUUUGAAAAACUUCAAAAAAAAAAAAAAAGCAUAUGUAAUUGGUCUAGUCUAGUCUUGUUCUCCCUUAGAAUUGAGAAUUGGACUGUUUGGACAGCGGUUUCACUUUUAGGAAUCGGAAACCAAACUGACACUCCUAGGGUUACUAUUCAUGACACACCCCUAGUAACAUUAAUCUGUAGGGUUAUGAAACAAAUUGAUGUUCGAGCAUGAUAUUACACAAUGACAUGGACGGACAAGGAUCGGUGAGGAUUAUGUGGUUUGGCCUUUUGUUACCGUAUUUGAAGUUGCAAAGUACCAAGGAAAUGAAGUGACACAUAGUAAAAUCACAUUAACGGCUUGAUUCCUAAGGGCGACCGACUCUAUACAGUGUCAAUAUCCAUACCCUUCAUUUGCCUCCAACAUUAGAUUUAGUUUUCUUGCACAGAGAAAAUGACAGUACGCAUUAGGGAAUAGUACAGCGUUAAUCAUGUCUACAUCUAGUGGAUUUGAUCGACGGGAUUUUGCAACACUUGUUCGCAAGGAUGCUUCGUGUUUACUGCUUCAUCGCUUUUGUUUUCCAACAGGGUCAGUCUCCUGACUCGUGAGCUGUGACCCUUUCUAUUUCUCUUCAUGUUUUCUUCGAUUUUGACCCUCUUUUUCUUCCACAUAACCGAGGACUCUAGUUUGCAGCACUUGUGCAGCUGGCCCCCUUCAAACACUAAUCGUCGGACGAGAUCUCGCAUUUGAUCUGCACACCAGAUCAUCUGUAAACUUGUUGAUACAUUGAGACCUAAGUGGUCCUUAUUUGAAUACAAGGUCAAGAGGACUGACCAAAGUUCCUAGUCACAAUUUGUGAAAUGAAUAUCGCCUAUUUCAUGUCUCUGAUUGCUACAACACACUAGAGCCUGUAGCCAAAUUUUGCUAGGACUUUCUAGAUCAGCCCCUAAAAGCGAGCUUGGUUUUUCGCUUUGUAUACCCUGUACAAGUAAAUUUUGGUUCCCCCCAACGCUAAUCCUAGGAUUCUAACAAAAAUGUCCUUCAUCUGAAUAGACUCAACAGAGCUGUACACCUGCUCUUAAACCUUCAUGAACUUGAUCAUCGCUGCUGCUGUCUUUUCGAUUCUUGAAGCAGUCAUCGGAAUCCAUCAUCGGUGCCUCACUUUGAUAAUUCUUAUGUGAGGUUGAUUUACAUGUGAACUCACAACUCGAGCGUUCUUGCAUCAUUUUUGCGCCCCAUGUGCCUGUUGAGAACUUUCAUGCUUUAAGUAUAGUGCAAAGAGGAGCUCAUUCCAUGAGUCUGGCACUCCGGGCAGGCACCAAUGGCUGCAAUCCUGCCGGCGAAUAGAUGCAGGGCCUGUGGGAGGGCCGAUGUAGUACAAGGAGGAGUGCCCAUCCUUCCUUUGCGAAGUCAUGUGGGUUAUGUUCAGUAUGUUCACUUUGAUAGCCUCUGAAGCGUUUGAGUGAACUGCCAAUUUGUUGGUGAUGCUCUUGUAGUGCAGCCAGUUAUCUGAUGGCACGAGCGAGGAGCCCAGCUCGGGCAAUGUCUCCAAGUGACAGCUCCCACUCCUCCAGUCACCGCCUCUGCCACAUUUUCAAUAUCAUGAGCAGUGGGUCUCCGUAGUUGAGGAAUUUUGAAUAGUAAGGGAAAACAACUACGCUACUUUUUGUUAUGUUAUACAGUGAAAUGUGCAAAGAUGUUGAAUGGCAUAUCCAUGGCAACAUAACAGGCCAGCUAUGACAGCAUUGCGUAGAGUUUAGUAGGAAAAAUGCAUCAACGUUCGAAGGAACUCCACUGUAUCACAGGAUCUCAUGUACACCAACAGUAAUAAAACUUUGCAAACCCAAAAGUAGCACAGGGAGCAGGAAUAAAAGUCACUCUCCUGGCAAUAAUAGCGCUAUUCCUGCUAGUUGAAUAGUUUAUAAAACUGAAGGAAAACAAGAAAUUAUGACAGAUGAGGCAAACCUGAAAUGCACUGGAGAAAAUGUCCGAAAGAAGACCCGAGUCUUGCUUGAAUUCACCUCAUUUCUUAUCCAGUGCAGGACAGUCUCUAUCGCUCUCUGAUAUGCAUGUUCUGCUCUCAUUUCGACCUUCACCUCAUCUCCAUCUUGAAAAUAACAACCGCUGAAAAGGAAAUAUUGGGUAUUUGAUAUUAGAGAAGUAUCACUGGAAAGAACAGAGCCCCUUUUCGCAUUAUACAUGUACUUUUGUUCUAUCAGACAAACAUUAGUGCAGAUCGCUGAGACAAUAUUCCCAAUUUCCCAUAAAGAACUAACUCUUUUCUCGAUUUCAACUUGGCAAAUACAUAACAUGGCAUAAUAUAGGGUUGACUAUGAGUACGUAAGUACACUACCACAAGGAGAUGCAGCCAUCAAGGAGCUUUUCCAAAGGCCUAAAGAUCUACAGUGUCAACACAUGUGAGGACCAUUUCACAUCAUACUGUACUCCUUGGAUAUUUGUUUUGCGUGUGAUUGCUUUCUUUCGCUCAAUUAAAUGGGUGCAGAUCUGUUACUAGGAUGCUCCAAAACCUGGAAAUGCCAUCAAAUUUACUAAGCUUUUUGACACAGGUACAGAUCUUCACAGUUUUACUCUAACCGGUUUUUAUUCUAUUCUUCUUCCCCCACAACCAAAAUCCAGAGAGCAAGUAACAAAGAAAAAAUGAGAAGGAUUGCCAUUACCCCCUGAUGGUCUUCUCGUAAUUCCACCAGUGCCCUGUGUUGAGGACCAAGACAUCAGCAUCCUUCCACUUCAUAGAUGUCCAGUCCAUCUGAUCCAAUUUCAGAGUUGUUUUAAUCUCUUCAGGGGAUCCAAUAGGAGGACGGCUCUGCAGUACCAGAAAUGGAGCUCUAUAGUACUCCACUGUGCAGUUGAACUCUCCAAACUUAAACACCAAGUAACCUUUGUGCUUUGUAAUUGGGCUGCCAUUGACUUCAUAGAUCGAGUCUUUGUCAGAGACUCCAGUAGAGAGCAUGCAUAAGAGAGACUCCCACUGGUUUCUUCCAAUAGAGUCUCCGACAAAAACAAGCCGCUUGUUACGCAGCUUCUCAAGCAUCAGUCUUGCAUUAAAUCUGUCAUAGUCCAACAAGCUCAGUAUGAUAUAGAAUGAACACAUAAGGUUGGCGGAAAAAAUAAUUGGCAACUACGUAGCCAACACUAAUUCACCCAAAUCCAAAUCAGAUCACCAGCAGAUUAGUCUGUCAUCCAUCCAGGUGAAAACAGAAGAGUUUCAGGCAGCAGCAAUCCUGAGCUAGAAUUUGUUAAAAUUUGCAUAGAAAAAUAAUUGCAUUUGCCAAUAAAGCAAAGCCAGAUUUUCGAAACAAGGGCAUAGUCAACGUUGAACCAUCUAACAAUCAAUACUGCAGAAUUGCAGCAAUGGCCACAUUGAAGCAAUCAUUAAGCACUGAAACAGAUCAUGCUGCAAAUAACGCUAGUAACUUGCAGAGAGCUCUAAUAACUCAAUUCAGACUGAUCCUGUUUCUAAUGCCAGAAAGACCAAACAAACUGCACGUAGCAGAUCAACUGACUAACAAAAGGAUUCUUUUUUUGAUACAUGUAGUUAGUGCCUUGAAAAUUUUGAAAUUUUCCUGAUGCAUGCUUAGCAGGUGCCUCAGGCCCUCACUACCAUAACCCACUCUCUAAGAAAAAGCUAUGGGCAAUCCUUCGGAUUUCUAAUGCUCUGUUCGUGCUUCCAAUAACCAACAUGCAAUCAUGAAACUGUGUAUACGUACAGAUUUAGACAUGUAGAUGUAAGGCUAUUUUCACCAAUCCCAGCCCCAGCCCAACAUAGAUGUUCCGAACUUGCUUCAUUGCAAUCCCACAUAUUCUCCAUGAACAGAAAAGAAAAGGGGAUGAGUUGCACACAAACACGAACCUGGGCAAGUUACACCCUUUGGGUUGCCAUCUCCACUUAGUAUAGAAAUGAUCAGGACGGCCAUUCUCAGAGCACCUGAACCCCUGAUCCAAAAACCCGCAAUCUCUCGACUGAUACAGCGGAUAGUUAUCAUCCCAGACCCAAUCACCCUCAAACACAUCACACCCAUCACCCUCCUCCCCGAGAAAAUCCACCCUCUCGACGUCAUCAGAGCCGUUCAACUUCAAGUUCAACCACACCAGACUCUCCAUCCGGCCAGAGUACCCGAAGAACCCUCCCACCCGGACCCCGUCGUUACCAUGAUCCACGUGAUAACCGAAGAAGAAGAUGAAACAGACGGUCAAGAAAGCGAAACCCAAGAGCCCCAGGGACUGGGCCACGAACUUGAAGUGCUUCGAGCUCUUGUGGAGUUGGAGGACCACCGGCGUCAUCCUCUCGUGGCCCUGUUCCUGAAACGGGAGGCUCUUGAGGAGCAUUUGCGAAAGGUGGCAAAGAAAGGGAUGGCCUCUUCCGGGUUCCGGGUGCUUGCGGGAACCGGCUGACAGAAUUUUAAAAAGGAAAAGGGGAAGCGCCGGGUUGGGUAGAGAGCAGGAGCGAAGUUUGGUGCGGAAGCAAGACAGAGCAUGCAUCAUCAUGGCCUAUAACGGUAAAGAAAGACGCCAUUCUCCCCAUUACUUUUCGGCUCCAUCUCUUCGCUUUCUUCUUUGCUUGGCUGGUCAGCUACGUCCAGCAGCUAGAGAGAGAGAGGGAGAGAGAGAGAGAGAGAGAGAGGAAUGGGGUGUGAAGGAAGCAAAGAAGCAUUGCACGAGGAGGAGGAUGAUGAUGAUAGCGGUGAUCAUGAAUGGGGUCAGUUUUCCCUCCUUGUUUUCAGUUUAACUUUUUCAGGAGGAGUUCGAGUUUGAUAAAUGGAGCGGUAACGUGGGGUUUGGAUUCGGAAGCAGUUUCCUUCUGCCUUCCGCUAACGGGAAAAAGUCCAGAAAUGGAGAACGUGGAUUUUUGCAGGGGCGGGUUGGACCGGGGUUGACUCCCCGGACGCGGCUUACCGGGUCAGAGUCAAUGGAGGAAACUUGUCCCAUGGUUUGGACUACACCCUCUUCUUCUUCUUGUAUUUUUUUUCCUUCCACCUUUUUGGACUAAUAAGAGAUCUAGAAUAUUUUUUCUAUCGACAUAAAAUUUGAGAGAUCUAAAUGAUGGUCGACAAAACUAUAUUAGAAUUUGUAUAAGAUGAGUACCCUGGAAAGACACCAAAAGAUAAAAUAAAAUAAAGAUGUUAUUCAAACGCAUUGUUAGUAUGGGCAUAUCACUUUACAAACUAUAUUACAAACUCUUCCCUCAAGGGUCUUUUUAGAAGCUCGACGCUUAACACUCUAUAUGGCUAGAGAGGCCUUCUCCUUACCGCAAGAGUCGUUUUCAAUACGGAUCCGCACGGAAACGGACUGAUGUUUCAAUGUCAUAAGAAUUUUCCCAUUAUGCAUAUUUGAGCAAAGGGAGAGUCGUUUUCAAUACGAAUCUGCACGGAAAUGGACUGAUGUUUCAAUGUCAUAAGAAUUUUCCCAUCAUGCAUAUUUGAGCAAAGGGAGAAUCGAUGAGGUAACUUUUGUUAUUCCAUGAUUAACUAUUCCCUUGAUGAGUUAAAAUAUUUAUGAGCUUUCCAAAUUCUAUUGGGUGUAUGUUUUAUGAGAGUAUAGAUGUAGAUAUGUUGUUGAGUAUGAUUAUACCUUUUUAGGAAAAAUUACCAAAAAAGAUCAUAAACUUAUUGUUUCCGUGCUAAUUUAGCAUAAACCUUUUAAUUUAGCUAAUUUAGUCCUAAAUUUUCAAAAAAUUUAACAAUUCAGUCCAUCCAAGUGAUUUAACUGAAAAUUGAUGACGUUGAUGCUAACAGUUUACGUAGCAUAGCUAAUACUGAGGUGAAAUUUCUUUUAGAUUUUUUAUUAACUUUUUUCUUUUGUUAAGGGCCAAUAGGAGGCUGCCAACUACCCUCGCUAGAGGCUAGCGGGGGUUUGCAGCCGCCCUUAACAAUAAAUAGAAAAGAAUUAACAAAGUUAUGAAUGUUUUCACUUCACUGUUGCUUGUGCCAUGUAAAAUGGCAAGCGUUCAUGUUAUUAAUUUCAAAUAAACUAUAUUGACAAAUCAUUAACAAGUGUAGGAUUAAAUUGUUCGAAUUGAAAGAUUUAAUAUUGAAUUAAUACAAAUAUAAUAGGUUUCUGACUUUUUUGGUAAUUUUUCUUUUUUUUUCUUUUUAUCUUUCGUUUAAGUUCUGUAUUGAUAUACUAUAAAAGUCGCAACUCAUGUUCUAAAUUUUCGUUGCAUCGAUCCAGCAACAUGCCUUAAAAAAAUAAAAUAAAAUCCACACCACCUUUGCUUCAAGUAUCCCCCGCACAAUUACACUUAAUAAGUACAUCUAGAUUAUCCAGCUUUGAUUAUAUACAUACAUACAUAUAUAUAUAUAUAUAUAUAUAUAUAUAUAUGUUUUAUAACAUUCAAAUAUAAUAUUUUCGAACAUUGCUAGAAUCCUUUUAUCUUUUACAGCUAUCCAGCAUAAUGCGAAAUCCACACCACCUUUGGUUCGGUCCCGGUAAAUGCUAUCAUGGGUUCUCAUUAUUCACGCAUUUAUUGGCUUAUGAUGCAAAUAAUUAAUAAAAACGAAUUAAAUGAAAAGAUACAUGUGUCUUGAGAGAGACGAGGAAGUUUAAUGCACUUACUCAAGUUGACAGUACAUCAUUGUAUUAAGACUAUAAAUAAUUAGUGAUUUGAUGACACAUGAUGAUUGGCCAUCAAUAAGUAUUAAAAAAAUUCGUGGACCUUGGCGCAAUCAUGUCUAGUGAAAAUUGAAAUUGAAAAUCCUAUCGCUUGAAACGUGAUUUACGCCAUGUUGUGUGAUAAUUAAAUCUAAUUUAUGAAUGCAACGCAUUGUUAAUAUUGAGUGGUAGGAAACAAAUGAAACAUUUUCAACCAUAAUAUAGCCGGCCAGAGAAUGAUUUUAUGAAAAGAGCAAACUUCCACCUUUCUCUAUCUCAUCAAGUGUAUUGGUUUGCAAUCCCAUUAACGGUCCAACUAGUUGAACCGGCCAGUUUGAUCUGGCCUUAAAAAUAGAUACUUUCAAUCUAACUAACAUAUUUAUAGGCAUACAAAUGCCACAUGAUUUAAAGAUGAGGUGAAGUGAAUUAACAUAAGAUGAGACUAUCCAAAAACAGCUGGAGAGGGAAGAGAAAGAUUGGCGUUGUAACACAAUUGAGGAUAACUUAAGCAAACUGGCGGACGUAUCACGUUGAUAAGACUAAACCAAAGGCUCAACCCAUGAAGAAGACAAAGAAGAAGUCGAAACUACAAUGCUAAUUUCAUUGACCUGCCAUGCCAAAUUGCCAAUAUACCAUCACUUAUGUAUAUCAGCAACGUGAUGUAACGUCAGGUUGCUGAAAUACUGCAAGAGCUGGAUACAAGAGGGAUUCUCCUUCAAUGGACCAAUUGGCAAGAAAAAUUGGGAGGCAACUUAAACCAGGAGAACAACAUAUGUAUUCUGUCACCAUUUCAUGUCCUUUUAAUGCAUUCAAUCCCCGCGCAUGAACUUGCAAAUAAUGUAGGAAGGUACAUGGAGUGUGAUGGUGCAGUACACAAAAUAUGAAUAUGCAGAACACAGAGGACUCGGAUUUUCAUCACAGACUUGCAAAAUCGAUUAAAUGAUGUAAAAUCCUUACAGCAUAUAUCAGAAUGCCUGCUUAACUGCCUUUACAUGUGUAUCACUACUUUAACGAACGAAAAUCGCGGCGGGCUAUCUGGUACUUUGACCCAAGCAAUCAGUUGACACAUCUGAUUAGCUCACAUUUCACAGGAUUUUGACUACAAGAGAGGAGGGGGUCCAUUUGCUCACAUUCAGGGAAGUAAAAACAAGAAAUGCUUUUGGAUGAUACCCUGCCAACCGGACAGCAAUUUCAUGAUAGCAUAACAUGGACAUCUCUAGUCCUGAACAGCCUAGGAGAGAGAUGUAAGUAAAGCAUUAAGGCGUGUGUACUAAGCUAUUAAUUUACAUCUACCAUCAUGCUACAAAAACCUUCCUUUGAGAGCAAAAUUGCAUCUAGACUUGUCCAGCAGUUAUACUUGCGAAGAAACCAUCCUUCCCAGUCCUGUGCUAAGAAGUUCAACCUUCAUUAGACUACGUUAAAGUUGAAAGUUGAAACACUUUGGCUUGCAUAUCAUUUAAUAUAUCCCUAUCUUUCCAGACCAAAAGAAGCAGCUGGCAGAAGAUCAUUUAACAGCAAAGAGCGUUUACACAAAAGACAUGAAUGUGCAGGCAAAGCAAAUCAUUAAACAAGCCUCCAGUGUCUGAUCACAGAACCAUCAUAUCCUUACUGAUGGAUCUACAAGACAAACUUCAUGAAUACAAAAGCAGCCCCUCACAAGCAAAGAAACUCUACCUUAAGCAAAACAAUAAAAAAUUAAGGGCGUAAUGAUCAGAUGUAUUACUUCUCAGCACAAAAUGCCUCAUCGGCUGGUUAAAACCAACUUCCUAAGCACAACUUCCGCAUGCUCUCCCUCCAAACACAAGAUUUCUAAUGGAAAACCAUAAAUUCAAUCUAACAACGUAGAGAUUCACUCCACUUAAUGAUUGCUCGUGUCAAGAAAGAUGGCCAAUUUGCUCAUACAACCACUAUACGAGGAGCAGAAAUGAAUUACCAAGAAACGGUCACUGCAAGCUUCAUUUUUUUUCACUGAUAUGAAGCUAAGAGACCCCCAACAGAAGGUAUAACCCGAUCACAGUUUGCCAAUCUAUCACACAUCAGCGAAGGCGAUAUACAGCAGUCUUAAAGAACUGAACAUGUACUCGUUUAUCGCCUCUUUUCAAAGCUCAUAUUUCCAUACCGAACCCCUUGACAAGCUCCGACGAGCAUCAUUACAAGGAAAGUGGAAUCGCGGCUACUGAAGUCAAAGACAAUCAGCAAAACAGCAAAUGAAAUCAAGUACUACUAAAGUCUAAAGAUACACGCGAUUUUCCAUGGAAUGGCACGACUAAACAAUGCCACAGUUCAUACCAGUGCGUCAAAUGAAAAAUGAAUACCAAUUGGACAGAAAAGAACCGUCUUUUCCGAGAAGAUAAACUUUCCCACUUCACCCAGUGAAAAAUUGCAGCCGAAGCUGUCAUUAAGAUUCGCGGAUAAUCGUUCAGCCAUAAAACGCGAGACUUCUUUCGUCGUCUCACAAUCGUCUCAUCCAACUCACGACGAAACCUCCAGAACUCCACAUGAAUCAAGCAAUCAAGAUUCGAAUUCCUGCGUGAUAAAAGCUCGACUUCGGGAGAUUCAACGGCAAGAACCGACCUUUCUUGCUACAGGACUCUACUCGUCGCGAAGAGCAGCAGGAUCUUGCGGAGAAGAGGGAGAAGCAUCGGCGUCGGCGGCGGCGGCGGCGGCGGCGACCUGGGCUUUCUCGAGGAAUGGCUUGAAACCCAGUUGCAGAGUGAGGUAUCCGAAUGCCAACGCCCCGAUCACGACUAGCCCCGACCUCAUCGCGUUCAUCUUCGUCCUGUCCCACAUCUCUCUCUCUCUCUCUCUCUAUCUCUCUCUCCCACCCUCCCCCUCGCUCUCUCUCUCUCUCUCUCGCAAGUUGCAGAGGAAUCGGGCAACGAGGACUAACACGCGGUGUGACUCGGGGUCGCUGUGACGUCGUUCCCUGCCUAAG